AGAGUUGAUCAUGGCGUCAGGAUGAACGCUAGCGACAGGCUUAACACAUGCAAGUCGAGGGCAGCAUAAAAGUAGCAAUACUUGGUGGCGACCGGCGCACGGGUGAAGUAACGCGUAUGCAACCUACCUAUCAGACGGGGAAUAACCCGGCGAAAGUCGGACUAAUACCGCAUAAAACAGGGGCACCGCAUGGUGAUAUUUGUUAAAGAAAUUCGCUGAUAGAUGGGCAUGCGUUCCAUUAGGUAGUUGGUGAGGUAACGGCUCACCAAGCCGACGAUGGAUAGGGGAACUGAGAGGUUGGUCCCCCACACUGGUACUGAGACACGGACCAGACUCCUACGGGAGGCAGCAGUGAGGAAUAUUGAUCAAUGGGCGAGAGCCUGAACCAGCCAAGUCGCGUGAAGGAAGAAGGAUCUAUGGUUCGUAAACUUCUUUUGCAGGGGAAUAAAGUGCAGGACGUGUCCUGUUUUGUAUGUACCCUGAGAAUAAGGAUCGGCUAACUCCGUGCCAGCCGCCGC
Molecule: ribosomal RNA, 518 nt
Filed under: uncultured bacterium
Lineage: Bacteria
Description: bacterial SSU rRNA
Rfam family: Bacterial small subunit ribosomal RNA
Source: RNAcentral